RNAcentral lists this long non-coding RNA (546 nucleotides) under Phoenix dactylifera (date palm). RNAcentral's name for it is "long non-coding RNA (PDAC_LNC002200)". The record is from RNAcentral. Lineage: Eukaryota; Viridiplantae; Streptophyta; Magnoliopsida; Arecales; Arecaceae.
CAUUACAAGCUUUCUUGGUCCCCCAAGUCCGUAUCACAUCCCCAGCUUUUGUCCUCCAUUGUCUCAUUCUUCGUUUGUCAUCGCUCGCAAUGUCUAGCCUGAUAGAUAUCUGGACGGAGGAGCUCGAAAAGAUCCGUGAGAGGGGCCGAGCCACGUCCCUCUCCGCCUCCGGUGAUUCAAGCCCAGGGGCCGAGCAAGGCCAGGCCAGGGAAGCGGAAGGACUCUCUCUUCCAAGCUUCCGGGUUGUUGGCCAGGCAUUCCAGAUCGAUACACGCCCACCUUCAACUACUCUUUCCUCAGAGACACGUUUGGCCAUCCUGCUGGAUUGCUUUGGCCUGUAGCUCUCUCGAAGGAGCUUAUGCUCCAAUCUUUAUCGUAGCAUGUAUCGAUCCUUUUGUAAUUUCUCAUUUUCUCGAUCAAUCCGGGUGGGUUUUUCUCCUCUUUGGUUUUCAAAAGAAGUGCAAAUCUUGGUUAUAUGAUCUCUGUCACCUUGUGAACUAGUGAUGCGUGCUCCUGAGGAUGAUAAGAAGGUUACUGGUUUUUGUG